RNAcentral lists this ribosomal RNA (494 nucleotides) under Stenotrophomonas sp. Its description in RNAcentral is "bacterial SSU rRNA". It matches the Rfam family "Bacterial small subunit ribosomal RNA", at positions 49 to 532 of the family's 1533-position model. Lineage: Bacteria; Pseudomonadati; Pseudomonadota; Gammaproteobacteria; Lysobacterales; Lysobacteraceae. The record is from RNAcentral.
CUAUAGAUGCAGUCGAACGGCAGCACAGGAGAGCUUGCUCUCUGGGUGGCGAGUGGCGGACGGGUGAGGAAUACAUCGGAAUCUACUUUUUCGUGGGGGAUAACGUAGGGAAACUUACGCUAAUACCGCAUACGACCUACGGGUGAAAGCAGGGGAUCUUCGGACCUUGCGCGAUUGAAUGAGCCGAUGUCGGAUUAGCUAGUUGGCGGGGUAAAGGCCCACCAAGGCGACGAUCCGUAGCUGGUCUGAGAGGAUGAUCAGCCACACUGGAACUGAGACACGGUCCAGACUCCUACGGGAGGCAGCAGUGGGGAAUAUUGGACAAUGGGCGCAAGCCUGAUCCAGCCAUACCGCGUGGGUGAAGAAGGCCUUCGGGUUGUAAAGCCCUUUUGUUGGGAAAGAAAUCCAACUGGUUAAUACCCGGUUGGGAUUACAGUUCCCAAAGAAAAAACACCCGCUAAUUUCAUGUCACCAACCUGCGUAGGACAGAAGGG